Molecule: ribosomal RNA, 301 nt
Filed under: uncultured bacterium
Lineage: Bacteria
Description: partial 16S ribosomal RNA
Rfam family: Bacterial small subunit ribosomal RNA
Source: RNAcentral
CAGUCGCCGCGGGAAUACGAAGGGUGCAAGCGUUACUCGGAAUUACUGGGCGUAAAGCGUGCGUAGGCGGUUUGUUAAGUCUGCUGUGAAAUCCCCGGGCUCAACCUGGGAAUGGCAGUGGAUACUGGCAAGCUAGAGUGUGUCAGAGGAUGGUGGAAUUCCCGGUGUAGCGGUGAAAUGCGUAGAGAUCGGGAGGAACAUCAGUGGCGAAGGCGGCCAUCUGGGACAACACUGACGCUGAGGCACGAAAGCGUGGGGAGCAAACAGGAUUAGAUACCCCUGUAGUCCCUGUCUCUUAUAC